RNAcentral lists this ribosomal RNA (645 nucleotides) under Chrysomyxa diebuensis. Its description in RNAcentral is "partial large subunit ribosomal RNA". It matches the Rfam family "Eukaryotic large subunit ribosomal RNA", at positions 44 to 666 of the family's 3401-position model. Lineage: Eukaryota; Fungi; Basidiomycota; Pucciniomycetes; Pucciniales; Coleosporiaceae. The record is from RNAcentral.
AAAAAAGCGGAGGAAAAGAAACUAACAAGGGAAUAGCAGGUAACGGCGAGUGAGGCGGUAUACUGCCAAAUUUGUAAUCUGGCUCUUUUAUAAGGGUCCGAGUUGUAAUUUUGAGAACUGUUUUCCGUGCUGGACCAUGUACAAGUCUGUUGAAAAACAGCAUCAUUGAGGGUGAUAAUCCCGUACUUGAUAUGGUCUACCAGGGCAAUGUGAUACAGUCUCUAAGAGUCGAGUUGUUUGGGAAUGCAGCUCAAAGUGGGUGGUAAAUUCCAUCUAAGGCUAAAUAUAGGUGAGAGACCGAUAGCAAACAAGUACCGUGAGGGAAAGAUGAAAAGAACUUUGGAAAGAGAGUUAACAGUACGUGAAAUUGUUAAAAGGGAAACAUUUGAAGUUAGACUUGUUAUUGUUGGUUCAGCUCUUUUUAUAAGGGUGUAUUCCAAUGGUUAACAGACCAGCAUCAAUUUUUGGGUGUUAGAUAAGGGUCUUGAGAAUGUAGCAACCUCGGUUGUGUUAUAGAUCUUGACUUGAUAUAAUGCUUAGGAUUGAGGAACGCAGUGAGCUUCUUUUGAAGUGGAUCCUCUUGGGGAAGCGAAUCCUACGGACGUCUGUAAUUUGGCUUUAAAUGACCCGUCUUGAAACACGGAC